RNAcentral lists this ribosomal RNA (253 nucleotides) under uncultured bacterium. Its description in RNAcentral is "partial 16S ribosomal RNA". It matches the Rfam family "Bacterial small subunit ribosomal RNA", at positions 524 to 776 of the family's 1533-position model. The record is from RNAcentral.
UACAGAGGUCCCAAGCGUUGUUCGGAUUCACUGGGCGUAAAGGGUGCGUAGGUGGUGAGGUAAGUCGGAUGUGAAAGCUCGGAGCUCAACUCCGAAAUGGCAUUGGAAACUACCUUGCUCGAGGGUUGGAGGGGGGACUGGAAUACUUGGUGUAGCAGUGAAAUGCGUAGAUAUCAAGUGGAACACCAGUGGCGAAGGCGAGUCCCUGGACAACUCCUGACGCUGAGGCGCGAAAGCGUGGGGAGCAAACAGG